Molecule: long non-coding RNA, 2069 nt
Organism: Nematostella vectensis (starlet sea anemone)
Lineage: Eukaryota; Metazoa; Cnidaria; Anthozoa; Actiniaria; Edwardsiidae
Exons: 2
Source: RefSeq, a predicted model, not a curated record
UUUAUAAAUAUCUCUACAUGCUAUUUUUCCUUUUCACCAAUAACUGCCAUGGAAAUUCCUUUCCCCGGCCUAAAUAAUUUCUUAAGUACAGUUCUUUUGCAUUUAACGGAUAUUUAUCAAAUAGUUUACAUUCACUUCUUAUUACAACUCUCCCUGUACUCAUGUUUACAAUGAUUUCACGCAUAUAUUAUUGCUAAUCCCCAACAUUUCCUUUCUAAAAUUCAAGUAAGUACUUAACUUGUAGGCUAGCUCGCAGUCUUAGAGUGGUUUUCAAAAUCCCGUGAAGUACUAUUUAGUUUAUUUACUACUAAUACACUGCAAUGUCUGUUCUCUUUUGUUCUGGCUUGACUAUUACAUUAAAAAAUUUUGUUUAACGGGAUUUUGAAAACCACUCUAUCUUUCUAUUAUUACGUGAUUACUGUUGGAGAAAGCGGAAUUUUUCACUACAUAAUCUGUUUAAUAUCCCAAUUACAGGAAAUUAAGGAGCUUUUAGCAACAGCAGGUGACAGUGGAAUGGUGCGAGCUCAUGAAUCUGCCACAACAUCUUCCACGGUCUCUACCUUGGACCUACCCGCCUCAGCUGAAGACACACCAACUGAAACCAUGCCCCCCCCCUUAGAAACCCUCCCCAUAGACCAACCUGCCCCAGUUGGAGACAUGUCAACUGACAACUUGCACGUCCAAGAAUCCCACCCGGUAGACCCACCGCCCCCACUUGGAGAUGCGCUAAUCAAUACCAUUACUUCACAAGAAUCUCACCCCAUAGACCCACCCGCCCUAGCAGAAGACACACCCAUAGAUGCUACGACCAUACCUCCCAGAGCCAAUGUGUUCCAUGUAGUUGAUUAGGGCAGUGAGGGGUCAUUAUUUAUAAACAAAUGAUCUAAGAUUUCUGUUUUUAUGUCAGCAUAAUGGAAUGAGCUGAAAAUAUGUACAUACAAUUGUCAAUUCAGAGCAAUUUGGCUAACAUGGAAACUGAUUAAUGAGAAAUAAAUACGAUGUUUCACUGCUCAAUUCCACCAGGUGCAAGUGCUUGCUUUGUUCACUUAAGAGAUUAGUCAUGAAGGAAGAAUACCAAUGCUGCAUAGAGCUUGCAAAAACAGCAAAACAAAUUGAGAAUGUGGGUUUAUAGAGAUGUAUUGUUGACCAUCCAGGGCUCAGUGUAGAUUGUCACAACGAGUGGUUACUAUGCACAGAAGCUGUUGGAAUAAAAACAAGGAAGAAAAAUCCUAUUCAAACUCCAUGUCUUCAGAGUUUGCAUCCUCCUUAUCCUCUUCAAAUCCAUGAAAUGUUUCGCUAGGGAAUGCUUCCCGUAUUUUGUUGUAGACACAACUUGGGAGAGAUGCCCUCUUUGACCACCCGACACACUCAUAUACCAGGCGCACGUAUUGUCUGUAGGCCACAGACCUCAGAAAUCUGAAGAAAUAAUAAUAAUAUCCUGAAAAUGAGUUAUUGAAAUGGGAGCAUUGGAGUUUUGACAAUAGGAAAUGAGUGUGGGAUUGUGGAGUGAAUUCAAGAUGCAUUAAUAAAUAUACUGUAUGCUUUGCUUUCAAAUUACAAGCUUAAUCAGCAUUAAAAGCUUCUUGGUUUUAGGACUUCAAUACUGAAAUAAUAUAAUAUGUUUGACUUUUGAUCAGAUUUAAGACAUUAUGUAUCUCUUGCUUUUUCAUUUUCCUAAAUUAAAACCCUCUCCCCUCCUUUUUUUUGUUAGCUAGUGGGAGCAUAUAUUUACAUAGAUCUUUUAUCUUUAGAAACUUACUCAGAUUCGGAUGCAUUUUUUGCAGAUUUGACAGAAGUAUAGGAUUUUUUCUUCCUUGUUUUUAGUCCAACAGCUGCUGUCCGUAGUACCCACUCGUUGAGGCAAUUCACACUGAAUCCUGGAUGGUCAACAAUGCAUCCCUCCAAACCAACUUCUUGUAAUUUUUUGCAUGUUGCAAACUCUGUGCAGCAUCGGCAUUCUUCCUUUGUGACUAAUAACUUGAGCGAACAGUUCGAGCACUUGAACCUGGUAAAAUUGGAUCACCAUGAGCAGUUGGUCGUUACGAAACAUCAAAACAACAAUAUAAAAA